CACAAUUUUCAUUUCCGAUUCAAACCUGGAAACUCAAACGAAGACCCCCACAUGGUCGACACCGUCUCUGGUCACUUCUCCACCGUCGGCCUUUAUGCCCUUAUGAUCCGUUUCAUUGAAACCUGAAACUUGGUAGCUCUGUCUCUAGGUUACAGUUGAGAAAGCCACUUCUUUGUUGAAUUUCUUUGCUUUGUUUUGUACAAGAGAUCUCCUGUCAAGUUCAAGCAAGUAUCUCUUAUGGUACAUGAUGAAUUUCUCUUACUUGUGUUGAUGAUAAAACAGAGACCGUGAAGAUGUGAUGGUAUUUUUUCUUUAUGUUCAUGAUCUUUCUUCUUCUUUUUUUUCUUUUAAUUUAAGUGGCAAAGUUGAAUUUGAGUUGGUGAAUUUGAGUAGGUCUACAAAGGUUAGUCAUACCCGAACUAAGUGAGAUACAUAGAUUAUGUAAGAGUGAGAUUGCAUUCUGAUUUCUGACAUUUGUUUUACUUGUAUAGGUUCAUGCGGGUUGGUCAAGGAAAGUGAGAUUAUCUACUUCUAGUUUUCAUGAAUGUGUAAUGUGUUUCCAUCUCCAGUUUUCUACUUCGGGUUUUAGGCUUGUCAACUUGUCUUUUUUUUCUUGGAUUUGAAUCAUGUGUUUCAUGGAUAUGUUCUAUGCAUUUUAUGUCUUUAAGACUUUAACUCUUUAUAUUUGGAUGAUUGGAAUUGGAUGUUUAAGAC
This 714-nucleotide long non-coding RNA is filed under the name Arabidopsis lyrata. RNAcentral's name for it is "long non-coding RNA (ALYR_LNC003190)". Lineage: Eukaryota; Viridiplantae; Streptophyta; Magnoliopsida; Brassicales; Brassicaceae. The record is from RNAcentral.